UAGUUUACUACCAUUCUGCUCCAAAUCCAUUGCCUCUCUUGUGCUUUAUGAUUCUAGAGUUGGACCCUGCAAACAUGCUUCCUUAUCUUGCUGCACAAUGCCGAGCUUUGUCAGUAGAGGGCGCUGGAGGGACAUUGACGAACCGGCCCGCUCAGGCGUUCCGGGUGUCCUUGCUCUUCUUGCUUCUAAGGCGCAGCCGCUUUGGUGCUAAUUCUCCAGCUUCCAGCUCAGCUGCCCUGCCCCAUGAUUUCCUACUCGCCAGCCUCGGUUUUCUAGCCGCUUGUGGACUUGCCUUGGGACAGUUGCUGUUCCCAGACUGAGAGAGAGGUGGAGCACAACUAAAUCCAUCCUGCACCCUCAAGCACCACCACUCUGAUCAACUACAAACUGGGGAAGAAGAAAAGUAAAUAGUACCUGUGGCAAAGCCCUGAGAGUGUAUCCUGCUCAUUAUUGCCACUGAAAGAGCUUACAAAUAUAAAGUAUUUUUUAUCAUCUAUAAAUCUAAUCACAUGACAUUUUUCUCCUUAGACACAAACAUAUGGUGAAUUAUAGGAAUGACCUUACUUAUAUUGAAGCACCAUUGCACUAGAAUAAAUUUUCUUUGAUUUUGAGGGCUUCUUUGAGCUUGAUUUCACAUUUUGCUUGCUGACAUUUUAUUUAGGCGUUUUCCAGUGCUAGUCAUGAAUGAGACUGGUCUGUAGUUUUUUUUUUUUUUUUUUUUUUUUGUGUGUGUGUACAUGCAUAUCUGCAUGCAAUCUUUUUCAGAAUUGAUUAUAAUAGUGGAAUAAAGAUCAUUUGAGAGAUGUUUUUUAUUUUAUUCUACUACAAUUUGAGUGGCAUUGAGACUAUCUAGUUUUCGACAAUUUGAUAGAAUUCUCCUGUCAAAUUAUUUGGAAUUAGUUUUUUUAUAGCUAAUUCUUUAUAUUUUUUGUAGUUAUUUUUUCUCUUUCCUCAAUGGAAAUUUGUAUGUUUAUUUCUGAACAUUCCAGAGUUGAUUUUGGUAUAGAGAUGACUCCUGAUGGUUUGACUUAAGAUUUUUCAACUUAUAACAAGUAUGAAAAUUAUAGACGUUCAGUAGAACUCACACUAUGAAUUCCCAUGAUGAUGAUACACAGUAUGAUGAUCUCUCAUGAUGCUGGAUAGUGGCAGUGAGCCAUAGGAACCAGUCAUCCACAUGAUCAGGAGGGAAAGCAGCUGAUGCUGCAUAGUAUACAGUGUUGCUAAGCUGUAAUGUUUGACAUUUUGUUCAUUGAGUACAGUUUUGACUUAUAAUAUUUCAAAGGUUCAGUGGGUUUAUCUGAAUGUAACUCCAUCAGAAGUCAAGGAUCACCUGUGUUGUUUUCCAAGAAAAAGAUCUAAGUCAUCUAGGUUUACCUUUUGAUUUGAAUACAGUUGUGACAAAUAGUUUCUUUUUUAUUUUUGAGGUGUUCUAAGUUUAAUUGGCUAUCUCCUUGUUUUUAUUUCUUAUUUGUGAUUUCUGCCUUUUUUUUCAUUAUUAGGUUGGCUAGUGGUUUAUCUAUGUUGUUGAUUUUUUCCCCAAAGUCCUAGUGUUUUGAUUUAUUAGUUUCUUUUUAUCCGGUUCUCUAUCUCAUUACUUUUACUUCUCAUAUUAUCAUUUCUUUCUUUUGCUUUGUUUUGUAGCUCUUUUCUAAUUUUUAAGACUAGAGCUCAAUUCACUUAAUUUUAUUCUUUUUGUUUUGUUGCAAGGAUGUAAAGCUAUCAGUAUUCCUGUGAUUAUUGGAUUAACUAUAUUAUAUUGAUUUUUGUCUUCAAUGUUUCUUUUUUUAAAUAUUCUACGGUUUUAAUUUUUCUUCUUUUGUCCCAAGGGAAAAUAGGCAAUCUUUGAAUUUCUAAAUAGAAUAUCAGGUUUCAGAAACAGCAGAAGAGCAAAACAUGGAAUUGAAGAAGCCUGCUCUACUCGGUCUUCCAUAGUUUUAGUUUUGAUGAAAAUUUGAAUUCUGAUUAUACUUGAAACAGCAUUUAAAAUGUUUCUGUUACAAAGGGUCUGUCUCUUUCUUAUCUAAGAGUGAUCAGAAUAGCUAUCAUACCUGCAUAAGGUUUCAUCAAAGGCAGGAAAUAAAAAAGUUAACUGUCCAAAUUUAAUGAGUUGUGAUGAGAAAAAAUACAACAGAUUUGUGAUUGCAUCUAGGCUUUUGUUAGUUUCUGUAUCAGCUAUGUUAAAAUUAGUAAAAAGACUUUUUUGGCAUGGCUGGAGGCAUUAUAGCUGAGUAUCAGCUCCCAGACCCUGGUUUCAUUGUCUAGGAACUUAAGCUCAGCCAAAAAAUGGUUAGUGGAUCCUGUCUCUGACCCCAGCAGGAUCUCUGUCAAAUGCAGCAGAUUAGUUAGAAUGGUUACAUGUUACUAAUUCCAAGACUACUGUGGGAAAGCAAAUAAAUAAUUGACUCCACCAUAUUCAUUACAUUCAGAUACAAGAUUUAUUCACACCAACAAAAAUAAUCACAACAAAAUAUACACUCAUUUAAAAAAA
Long non-coding RNA from Ictidomys tridecemlineatus (thirteen-lined ground squirrel), 2488 nucleotides. RefSeq lists it as uncharacterized. The record is from RefSeq and is a predicted model, not a curated record. Lineage: Eukaryota; Metazoa; Chordata; Mammalia; Rodentia; Sciuridae.